UAGGGAAUCUUCGGCAAUGGGGGCAACCCUGACCGAGCAACGCCGCGUGAGUGAAGAAGGUUUUCGGAUCGUAAAGCUCUGUUGUAAGUCAAGAACGGGUGUGAGAGUGGAAAGUUCACACUGUGACGGUAGCUUACCAGAAAGGGACGGCUAACUACGUGCCAGCAGCCGCGGUAAUACGUAGGUCCCGAGCGUUGUCCGGAUUUAUUGGGCGUAAAGCGAGCGCAGGCGGUUUGAUAAGUCUGAAGUUAAAGGCUGUGGCUCAACCAUAGUUCGCUUUGGAAACUGUCAAACUUGAGUGCAGAAGGGGAGAGUGGAAUUCCAUGUGUAGCGGUGAAAUGCGUAGAUGUAUGGAGGAACACCGGUGGCGAAAGCGGCUCUCUGGUCUGUAACUGACGCUGAGGCUCGAAAGCGUGGGGAGCGAACAGG
Molecule: ribosomal RNA, 429 nt
Filed under: bacterium
Lineage: Bacteria
Also listed under: 1 other name
Description: partial 16S ribosomal RNA
Rfam family: Bacterial small subunit ribosomal RNA
Source: RNAcentral